RNAcentral lists this non-coding RNA (26 nucleotides) under Rattus norvegicus (Norway rat). The record is from RNAcentral. Lineage: Eukaryota; Metazoa; Chordata; Mammalia; Rodentia; Muridae.
UUCUCUCACAGCCUCCCACAUCAGAA